GUUUUAAUAAUUUAAAUAAUAAAAUAUUGGUCUUGUAAACCAAAAAUAAGAAUACCUUUUAAAACU
RNAcentral lists this transfer RNA (66 nucleotides) under Dorcus hopei. RNAcentral describes it as "Dynodorcus curvidens hopei tRNA-Thr". It matches the Rfam family "tRNA". Rfam says of the family: Transfer RNA (tRNA) molecules are approximately 80 nucleotides in length. Their secondary structure includes four short double-helical elements and three loops (D, anti-codon, and T loops). Lineage: Eukaryota; Metazoa; Arthropoda; Insecta; Coleoptera; Lucanidae. The record is from RNAcentral.